RNAcentral lists this ribosomal RNA (454 nucleotides) under uncultured bacterium. RNAcentral's name for it is "bacterial SSU rRNA". It matches the Rfam family "Bacterial small subunit ribosomal RNA", at positions 340 to 786 of the family's 1533-position model. The record is from RNAcentral.
UACGGGAGGCAGCAGUGGGGAAUAUUGCACAAUGGGCGCAAGCCUGAUGCAGCCAUGCCGCGUGUAUGAAGAAGGCCUUCGGGUUGUAAAGUACUUUCAGUCGUGAGGAAGGUGUUAAGGUUAAUAACCUUAGCAAUUGACGUUAGCGACAGAAGAAGCACCGGCUAACUCCGUGCCAGCAGCCGCGGUAAUACGGAGGGUGCGAGCGUUAAUCGGAAUUACUGGGCGUAAAGGGCACGCAGGCGGUUAAUUAAGUUGGAUGUGAAAUCCCCGGGCUUAACCUGGGAAUGGCAUUCAAGCUGGUUAGCUAGAGUCUUGUAGAGGGGGUAGAAUUCCAUGUGUAGCGGUGAAAUGCGUAGAGAUGUGGAGGAAUACCGGUGGCGAAGGCGGCCCCUGGGACAAAGGACUGACGCUCAUGUGCGAAAGCGUGGGGAGCAAACAGGGAUUAGAUACC